This 253-nucleotide ribosomal RNA is filed under the name uncultured bacterium. RNAcentral's name for it is "partial 16S ribosomal RNA". It matches the Rfam family "Bacterial small subunit ribosomal RNA", at positions 524 to 776 of the family's 1533-position model. The record is from RNAcentral.
UACGAAGGGGGCUAGCGUUGCUCGGAAUCACUGGGCGUAAAGGGCGCGUAGGCGGCCGAUUAAGUCGGGGGUGAAAGCCUGUGGCUCAACCACAGAAUUGCCUUCGAUACUGGUUGGCUUGAGACCGGAAGAGGACAGCGGAACUGCGAGUGUAGAGGUGAAAUUCGUAGAUAUUCGCAAGAACACCAGUGGCGAAGGCGGCUGUCUGGUCCGGUUCUGACGCUGAGGCGCGAAGGCGUGGGGAGCAAACAGG